RNAcentral lists this transfer RNA (73 nucleotides) under Naumannella halotolerans. Its description in RNAcentral is "Propionibacteriaceae bacterium WS4616 tRNA". It matches the Rfam family "tRNA". Rfam says of the family: Transfer RNA (tRNA) molecules are approximately 80 nucleotides in length. RNAcentral also lists the same sequence under 2 other names. The record is from Rfam by way of RNAcentral. Lineage: Bacteria; Bacillati; Actinomycetota; Actinomycetes; Propionibacteriales; Propionibacteriaceae.
ACGGGAAUAGCUCAAUUGGCAGAGCAUCGGUCUCCAAAACCGAAGGUUGGGGGUUCAAGUCCCUCUUCCCGUG